This 464-nucleotide ribosomal RNA is filed under the name uncultured bacterium. RNAcentral describes it as "partial 16S ribosomal RNA". It matches the Rfam family "Bacterial small subunit ribosomal RNA", at positions 338 to 795 of the family's 1533-position model. The record is from RNAcentral.
CCUACGGGUGGCAGCAGUGGGGAAUUUUGCGCAAUGCUCGUAAGAGUGACGCAGCGACGCCGCGUGAAUGACGACUGCCCUCCGGUCUUUAAGUUCCUUCGACAGGGAAGAACAUGCCUAUAAGUAACUGUGUAUGUAUUGACGGUACCUGUCUAAGCAGCCCCGGCUCACUCCGUGCCAGCAGCCGCGGUAAUACGGAGGAUGCGAGCGUGAACCGGAUUAAUUGGGUUUAAAGGGUGCUCGGGCGGUUUUUUAAGUUUGCGGGAAAAUCUGGGGGCUCAAACCCAUCCAGACGUUGAAACUGGGGAUCUAGAGUGUGCGUGAGGUAUGAGGAAUGCGUGGUGUAGCGGUGAAAGGCAUAGAGAGCACGCAGAACCCCGAGUGCGAAGGCAGCAUACCGGUGCACAACUGACGCUCAGGCUCGAAAGUGUGGGUAUCGAACAGGAUUAGAGACCCCUGUAGUC